GCGACAACAGCAUACAACGAAUCGAGAAGCAUUGCAUGACUACGUAUUGCGGUUACCAGCUGUGAUGGUUUCGAAAUAAAAAUAACAAAAAAAAAGGCAUAAAGACAAGAGGUAUACUCACAUCCUUUCAAAGUUGCGUCGUCGAUGAAGGUCUGAUCGGUCUCAGUCGUCGACAGCUAGCUUAUAAGACCCUUCAUUUUUGUUUUAUUUCAAGGGAAGGAAGGAUCACGUGAAUGCAUCGUGGACAGCUUCUCCUUUCGCAGGAGCAGCAUGUGAAAUGCGAUACCUCUUGCCGACGCGCUCUUUUUUCUUCUUCUUUUGGUAUGAUAACACAACCGCGAAACACCCGUCUGGCUUUUUCCAAACGCUCUUUGGGAACACCAACCACACACACACAAAAAAAGAAACCGUUAUCGCCCUCGCAAGAUGAAUUUUCGACUGGUGGUAUACGCUGUCUGCCACGUACGAGCUUCCAGCAGUGAGUGUGCCACGUAAGAGCCAAGUGAUAUUUACUCCGUAUCUCGUCGGAUGACCAUUGCUGAGCCAAAGGCGUACGGCAGUUACUGCAGCUGGACAUCGGUGGACGUAGAUGUUAUGGUCAAUCUGAGUCACGGUAGUGCAUUUUCCCUGUUUCAGUGUUGGUUUUGUAAAUUCUGUUGUAGCUACGAAAACGAACAGGGAAACAGCACUCAGAAAGGACAAGGUGUAGCAGAACAUCUCCGGACAUCUAUUUACCAUGACGACCUACAGUAAAAUGAGACAACUCGUCAUGGAUUUCAAUAUUUAUUGGUAUGAGGACGGCGACAUUUUCCUUGGAGUUGAUGAUCCUGGGUAACGUCCCGCAUGCCGCACACAUCAUCACCCGAUUGGGACCAGGAAUCGCCAGCGUUGGUUGGCUGUUCGACAUCGGACCAGUGAUCGCCAGUCAUUUCGUCGUCGGUGGUGGCAGGUAGUUCUCCGGAACCCAAGUCCUUCUACGACUUCCAGAAGGUUGCAACAGUCGGUCCAACGUGUCCGAAGGAUCAUCGUCGUCAUCAUUGCAUCAGUGUACAAGUAAGCAUCAUGUCUUCGUCGAUCUUGCAUAAACUUGACAAGUUAAAGAAAUGUGGAGAGUUUCAAAAAAUGGCGACAAUUCCUAAAAACAUCAAGUAUGAUGUGGUUGAUGUUAACAAAAUUGAAACGAGGUAUGGCGAGGCGGUCUACGUAGAAAUUAUGAAGGAUCACGAGCACGUAAAGGUGUUCCUUCCAGCUCGGUUUCAUAAACUAAGCACUCAAGACAUCGAAGACAUGAGGAACACGAGCGGGCUCUGGAUGGAGAAGAAAGAGCGAGUUGGAAAAGAGGGGAAACGUCUUCUUUCGCCAGACAUCGUGUUCGGUCAAUCCGAGUAAAAAAAUAAAAAGAAAUGGUGACAUGCCACCUUUGUCCUCCGGCCGAUCGGCAGCACUACACAACAGCGCUGGGACUUCAAGUUCAUCUGGCUAACGUUCAUAACCUUGCAACACCCUGUAUCCCAUUUUGUGAGACACUCUGUACGCUCCGCAACUAUACCAACCGCUAUGAGCUUCAUCUACAUGACAGAGACGACGACGGGCAGGAUGUCAGCACAUUCUUUCAUGAAAACGGACGCUACCUUGCCGGUGUACUUCGACAUUUCGGAUUUCCGUUACGCUUUAUGUUUUGCUGAAGGCGGAACUCGGUCGACAUACGCCUGAGGAUGAGAUCAUAUUUGUCACUCAAUUUAUUCCUUCGAGUGUGCAUACGCUGUGGUCGGAACGAGACGUAGAACGUGCUGUCAUUGAAGUAGGCACUGAAGUCACCAACAAUUUAGAAAAGCUUGAAAUGCAAGGGUCGGGAUUUUUCUUAUUUCGAAUUCACGCCUGCAUUCUUCAUGUCGGUCGUCUCGCACCACAGCUCAUUGGUUGUACCGACUUUGAAUUGCCAAACGAAUUGAAAAAAAAGUGUCGGUGUCUUCUGAAUGUCGACCUUCACGAGGAUAGUGAACAGAACAUGUGUUUCGCAUUUUGCGUACUUGCCGGUCUACAUCCUGCAAAGGGUUCUUACAGACGCAGAGCUUCAUCCUACAGGUCAUACCUGUCUCAAUAUGUAUUUCCCGAGACGUUUCCUGUAGUGUUCCCGAAAGAUGUAGAAAUGUUUGAGAAGCAGAACGAUGUGAGCAUUAACGUGUACGGUUAUGACAAAGAUGAAAAAUAUGUUUACCCGAUUAAGGUUGUUGACGACCAGUGCAAGAAGCAUGUCGACCUACUGCUGAUUGACUUCCAUUUUGUACUCAUUACUAAUUUCAAUGCUUUGUUCACACACCUGGUUAUUUUCACUGCAAACGGUGUACGAUGGGUUUCACCACCCCGGGUGUACUCGCCGAUCAUCUACUAAUGUGUAAACAACAAAAAGUGUCCAAGACUAUUUUUCCAAAGAAGGGUGAGACACUGUCGUUUGCCGGAGAGCAUUUGAUGUCGGAAGUUCCCUUC
Long non-coding RNA from Ornithodoros turicata, 2487 nucleotides. RefSeq lists it as uncharacterized. The record is from RefSeq and is a predicted model, not a curated record. Lineage: Eukaryota; Metazoa; Arthropoda; Arachnida; Ixodida; Argasidae. The transcript is spliced from 4 exons.